UUUUAGUAUUGAUUUAAGUUCAAAUAUUGUAUGAAAUCUAGUCUUUCAGGGAAAGUGCUUAAAAAUCUAUUUCAAAAAGGCUGCCCCCUAGUGGCCUCUUCUUGUUCCUUGGACCUGCAGGAUAAGUCCACUGGGCCUGAGGGCCUCAGUCCUGAGCUGUUCCUUCUGCCUGGAAUCCCUUCUCCCAGAUGUUCUCAUAGCUCUCUGUCUGGCAUCUUUCAAGUCCUGACUCAGAUGCCACCUUCUCAAUUAGCCUGACCUGACCACUUAAUUUAAAAUUGCAAAGCACACCUCCACAAUUCCUGGUCCUCUUACCCUGUCGUAGAAUGCAGGUUUCUCAUAGAAGGGAUUUUGCCCUUUUUUGGUCACUGAUGUAUCUCAAGCUCCUUCGACGUUGCCUGGCACAUACUAGCUGAUCAACAGAUAUCUGCUGAAUUAAAGAGCACGUACUACCCAGCUAGACAUAUUCAUUAAUUCAUGAAAUGUGAUAUUUAUAAACAUGUAUUAGAAGAGCAAAAUUUUCUUUAUGGAGUGAUAGAAUAGGAUAUCUCUUCAAGUUUUAGAUGAAGAUAUUUACAUAACUCCAAAGAGAUCCCAUAUUUGCCACAGAUCCUUUUUUUUAUCUCUAACUAGCUUUAGGUCUAUGAAGAGUAGAGCAAAAGGGUGUAUAACACAGUAACUCCUGGAAACACAAAAUAUUCUGAAAACUCAUCAGUCCUCAGACUAAUGGUGGCUGAGUGGCAGCGCUUACACAAACCCUGGUCCCACUCACAGGAGCUGGCCUUUACUGUUAACUGUGAAGACAUCUAACCUUCAAGGACAGGGCCAAGGUGAAAGUUCAGAGUUGUAUCUGCUUUUGAAACAGAUUCAGAGACAACCUACCUGCUUCUAAGAUUCACUGAAAUUAGAAACUAUUCACCUUUAUUCCUUAAUUAAGAGGACUUUGAGACUUACAAUUUCCCUGUUACCUUAUUUGUGUCCAUUACAAACACUGGCUAUGUAACCAUGCAUUUGCAGGAGUUAAAUCCAUGAAAUUAUUUUAAUUAUUAACCAUUUCAGUAAACUCUUUGCAUACUUACUAAGUUCUUCUGCUACUUCAUCAAGACAGAUGUCAUUAUUUACAGCAGGGUUGGGAUAGUCAGGAUAUCGUGCUAAGAACUUAUGACACAAUAAUCCUAAACUUUUCUCUUUUCGACUUGGUUGGGAUUUCUCAUAUUCAUCUCCAGAUAAGUGUUCCUAUGAAAGGAAAAGGUAAAUAACAUCUCAUUCUGAGAUAAUGUUUGACAGAUUUAUUAAGGGCAUCUGUGUUUGAUGACUAACACCACUUAUCUACAUGCUUAGCUUGGACAGCUGCGAAGUUUGAGAUGGAAGAAAAAGUGGGGUGGGGAAGGGGGACCCAGUAGAAUACUUGGCAAAUCUGAAAGGGAAGCCUGAAAUAAAAAUCACUCAAAGGUUCACAAUUCCCAGUGGUUGAUGGGGUUCAAACCUUUCUGAUGCUCUGGGAUUUAUUAUGAACAGCCUGAGGAUAGUGAUCUUCAUAUUUUCAAUAUUUCUGCAGAAGAUCCAAACCCCCCAUUAAUCCCCAGUCUCUACUGGCCCUCUGAAAACCUACAUGUAAACAGUCUUUGGCCUCAGGUAAUCCAUUUCUGUUGUCAAACAAUCCCCUUCUCUGAUCUCUGUCCCGGAUCUCAGGGCUCACAGCACUGAUGAGCAUUUUCAGAUUGGCUGUUGGUGUCCAUGGCUCUCCCUGGGACACUUCCUUGGGCUUGGUGGGUGUGGUUAAAGGGCCAAAGUCAGGCUGGAUCUCGGCCAGUGCUAUAUUCACCUUUGUGGAUUCUUUGAGGGGUGUUUUCAUCAGUCCCCUUUUAUGUGGCUCAAAAAAGAGAUUUUCCUGGUUCAAAAGAAGUAAAUAGUUAGAUCCAUUGUAGAAUAAGACUUAUCAGAUGGCUUUUGACUAAAAAUCAUACAAUGAAUAGAAUACUGCUAAGGAAAAAAAUCUAAUGAAAUCAAAGUUGAUUAAGGAGUAUAUUACAAUGAUCAUUUCACACCUACUGUCUGUUCUAAUAAAUUUUCCACUUUCAAGUUUGCAAAAAGCAUGGAUUCAAAUGCUUUCAUCUUAUGUUCCAAGAAUAAAAAAAAAAAAAAAAAAAAGAAACUUGAUUAGGACUUAUAACUUUUUAACUCUAUUUUGAAAUAAUUUUAGAUUUAGAGAAGAGGUGCAAAGGUAGUUUAGAGAGUUCCCAUAUAUCUCUACUCAUCUUUCCCUAACAGACCUGUUAAUUUUAAAUAAUCCCAAACAGUAUUAUAAGUAAGCCUCCAAGGCAGAAACCAUUUUCCAGCUAGCAUAAUGGCUACACUGGGUGCUGCAUGAUGAUUAAACAAAACUGACAUGGAAGAGAGCCAAGCAGACAGAGGUGAGAGGUAGCAUAUAGUCAGAAAUCCAGAGAAUCUGUGAAAUCCAGAGUGCCUAAAUGCAGGUUUUCUGACCAGAAAAAUUCAGAUCCACCCUUCCACUUUACAGAUGAAGAAAAUGUGGCUUGUUCACAAAUAAAGAAUAAUAAAGACUGUGUUCCUUCCUCUUUCAGACACCAGGUACUUUAUACAUUGCUCCUAGCUGUAUCUAUUUUAAAGAAAAUACUUGAAAUGGCAAUAUAUGAAAGAACAGGGAGAACUACUAACUCCUCAAUAAACUUUGGGAACACGGAAGAAGAGGACACAAGGCUGAAGGUGGUUACACAGCACAGGAAUCUGGACCUUCUCACUCCAUGUAUGGUGUUCCCACAUGGCGGUUAGUAUGAUGGAUCUAGGCGGGGACUCCUUGCCAGCAUGUGCACUCAUGAGGUACUGACCUACAGAUGGAGUUUUGCUAAAGACUACUGCUCUUUGCUUCACACUGCCAAGAACAAUAUUAAUUCUCUUAUUUAACAUUUAAAGCUUUUAGUAAAGUUUCAGUUCACUUUUUUAACCUAUCAGUAGCUAGACACCAGUGGGAUACUCCUAUUGACAAUUCCUCUGUAAUUUUCCAAAAUAUUUACUCAUGGACAGAAUUUGGAGCCCUAAUAGUUAAAGAAGCUGACAAUUAAUAAAAAAAUUAUAAACAAAUCCAAUAUCAAAUUAUGUCAAAUACCCUUUCUGAAUUCCAAUUGCUUAAGAAUCCUCAGAAAUUUCAUAAUGUACUAACAAAUUUUAUUGUAUUCUUAAAAAUACCUUUUCUCUUUGUAACUUCCAUAAAACCAUUAAAAUAGAAAGAUUACUUUAACCAUGGGCAAUCCUACCCUUCUUCAAAACUUAAAAAUUUCCUUCCUUCUGGGUUUUUGCAAAAGCUAACUAACCAAAAAGGGUUGAUGUCAAUAAGGCAGAGGAGAAUGAAAAAUUAAACAGUUCAGUCAUGAUGAUAAUGCAAAUUUAAAACUGCAACAAUGAAUGCCAAAGCUACAAAGUACCUUUUCGUUCUCCAUUCGGCUAAUUUUUCAUACAUUUAGUGUUUCUUUUAAAAUGAAAAAUCUGUAGUUCCUCCCCAAAUCCUGAUGGUUCCAGUAGUCCAAUCAAUUCUAUUAAAAUUUUUAAUAUCCUUAAAGAAAAAAAGGAAAUAGAAAAAAAAAUUAGAGAAAAUAUGCACCAGUAGAUUUGCUAAAAAUUCCUUCACCAUCAGGGACACAAGAGGCCGCCUAAACAAAGAGUUACAAAAAAUGACAAACUGGAUUUAUAUUUUAUUCUUGAUCUCCAGAAGAGAUAGCCCCACCACGGGGUAGACAACUCCAACAUCAAUAGAUUUCUUCGUAAAAACCAUCUUCUGUCAUGAGCUUUCAAGUAACCCACAAAAUUCCCAGUGACAGCUCUUUGCCAUCUUUAGAGAAGGCAUUCUACCGGGCCCCAAGUUCACUAGCAAGCACCCACCUGUCCACAGAUCAGGGCUCCGGACUGAGCAUACGAGCCCAGGUUCCGGCUGAGCACACAGGAUCCCAAGUUUCUGGACACGAAUCUGCAUCUAGAUGCCCGAAUUUCUCUCCUUGCACAUAUGUGCACAUGCUCAGCAGUAGUCUUGGGGCGCUGCGAUAUGGAACUUCCAAAUUCAGUACCUAAGCUCUAAGGGUACUGCUGGGCAUUUAAAGAGCGCCUUCUGGUUAAGACUCUUUUCCUUUUAAUAGACUUCCUUAAAGAUGCAGAGUUGUAUGUAUUCGCUAUUCGGGUGGCUGGUUCACACCACGAUGCUCAACUCCAUUGAGGAAGGCUGCGUUUGCUCAGUCAAACUACCAGUGUGCUGCUGCUGAGAGUUGCUACAGAAGGAAUUCAGAUAUGGCACCCUGGACAGAUGGCAAGAGUCUGGCAUUGAGCACCAUCAGACCUACGCUGAAGACCUGCACACCUCCUCUCUGGAUCACAUUCACAUUUAAAAAGGACUGCCAGUGUGGGAAGAAAAGAGUGAAAUAAGCUGCAUUCAGUAGACCUUAGGAGAGAGCAGGACCCAGCUGGGAACCUGACGCCACUUUUGCACAUGCCCUCUGACAGACUGUGAGAAACCAGCCAUGAGACUGGAGCCUGAUCAGAGAGGAAGGCUGAAGCCCGUUGGAAUCCCUGGGACUCAAGAAGAUAAGAAGAGCCCAGCAAAGGCAGGAUCAGUUGGAAGCUGCCCUAGGUUUACCUGGCUUUUGGCCAGAUGUCUACCUGCCCACUAGAGCCAGCAAGAAAAAUGUGGAAUCAUGUUAGUACAAAUUUUGGUCUAGUACAGAGGAAUACAAAGAUGAAUCAGUUACUACCGAAAUGACUAAACUUAAAAGGUAACUAGAGGAGCUGGGAUUGAAGCUCAGUGGUAGAGUGCUUGCCUAGCAUGGCGUGUGUGAGGCACUGGGUUUGAACCUCAGCACUGCAUAUAAAUAAAUAAAUAAAAUAAAAGUCCAUCAACAACUAAAAUAGCUAAAUAAAUAAAUAAAUAAAUAAAUAAAAUGACUCAGUUUGGUAAGGAUUUGGUACAUUGCUGCAAAUUUCAUCCACUGAUGGAGUAAAUACAAAUUUGUACAGCAUAAGGUGUAGAAAGAGGUAUUCAGUAGUAUCUACUGAAGUUGCUUACAUACCUCCUUUGUGAUCUAGAAGUUCUACCCCUGUCAGUCUCUAACAGGGAAGAGGGCUUUCCUACCUGGCUAACUAUGUUCAAGAAUCUUCCUAGCAGCACACAUUGUAAUAAUGCCAAAUGGGAAACUCCUCAGAGUCCAUCUGAGGAGUUGUGGUAAUUUCAUACAAUAGAGAACUCAUUAUUGCUACACACAAUAGCAUGGAUAAAUCUCAAAAACAUUAUGCUGUCUGAGAGAGGCCAUAUUCAAAAGAGUAUAUACUAUCUGAUUUCAUUUUUAUGAUAUUCGAAAACAGGCAAAACUAACUGCAUUAAGUCAGAAUGGUAGCUACUCUUUGGAGAAGGUAUUGGCUGGGAGUGGGGCAUGGAAGAGGCUUCAGGGUGUUAGAAAUGCUUUAUAUCUUGAUUUGGGUAGUGGCUGCCUAGACGUAACAUUUGAAAAUGUUCUUUGAUACUCUUAAGAUACAGGCUCCUUAUUGUAUAUGUUAAAUUUCAAUAAAAAGUAUUUAAAAAAUGAGAGAUAUUCAUUGCUCCCAAGAAUUUCAUAGCUUACCCACGAGGGGUGACGGACAUCAAAAACACAGAUGCCUAGUUUAGAGGGAAGUGCUAAUUAAAACAUGUCUGAAGAGCCCUGUGACCUCAAAGGAUGGGGUGACUGAUUCUGCCUUGAGAAAAGUAUGCACAGAGCUCUGGUUUAUUGGGAACAUAAUAUGUGCCAGGGACUUAAAAUUACUUUGUGCUUUCCCUAUAGCAUAAUUUAUGAGAUGAAACCCAUGAAUAGGCUUUUGAGUGAUACAUAGGUAUUCAACACAAAGUAAUGAAAAUUACAUCAGCAUUGUGGAUACUAUUCAUGAGAAAACCCUUUUGUGAUUGUGUCUUAGUUUCUAGAGGCAGCUGGAACAAGUUUAUUAGAAAUCUAGUGGCUUACUGCAUCAGAAAUUCAUUCUCUCACAGUUGUGGAGACCAGAAGUCCAAUGUAUGACAGUUUCUAGAGGAAAAUCCACUUCCUGCCUCUUCCAGCUCCUGGUGGUUAUCCUGGUAUUCUUGGGUUGGAAGUCACAUCAUUUCAGUCUCUGCCUCAUUGUCACAUUACCUUCUCCUCUAUAUGGCUUCUGCUCUUUGUGUGUAUCUUAUUAGGAAGCUUGUGAUGGCAUUUAGAGCCUACCCAGAUAAUCCAGGAUCAUCUCCUGAUUUUAAGAGCCUUAAUUUAAUCACUUCUGCAAGGACCUUCCCCCAACACAGUCACACUUACAGUUUCCCAGGAUUUGUCAUAAAUAUAUGUCAUAAGGAUUUGUCAUAAAUAUUCGUCGUAAGCUAUUAUGAAUGGCUUAAUUAAUAAUUAAGCAAAUUUAUUUGAACAUGACUAAGUAUGUGUUGCCAGAGAGGGAAGGGAAGUUUGAACACACAGGAAAAUCCCUGUAAUGUGCUCCAUGAGGAUUGUAUUUCCCUAUACACUUGCCCUGGAGCUAAGACCCUUGGUUGGAGGCGCACCUGUGGACACACACACACACACACACACACACAAAACUUUUGUUUGAACUGCAUUUUGGUCGAGUCUUAGGUCUCUGGAGAUUUCCUGGAGCCACCUUGCAGCCCACCAUUCACAAAUCACAAAAAUCACCUCAAAAGGGAAAGUAUUUUUAA
Molecule: long non-coding RNA, 6712 nt
Organism: Marmota monax (woodchuck)
Lineage: Eukaryota; Metazoa; Chordata; Mammalia; Rodentia; Sciuridae
Exons: 5
Source: RefSeq, a predicted model, not a curated record